This 388-nucleotide ribosomal RNA is filed under the name uncultured organism. Its description in RNAcentral is "bacterial SSU rRNA". It matches the Rfam family "Bacterial small subunit ribosomal RNA", at positions 45 to 433 of the family's 1533-position model. The record is from RNAcentral.
UGCCUAACACAUGCAAGUCGAACGGCAGCACAGGUAGCAAUACCGGGUGGCGAGUGGCGGACGGGUGAGUAAAGCAUCGGGAUCUACCCUGACGUGGGGGAUAACCUCGGGAAACCGGGACUAAUACCGCAUACGUCCUACGGGAGAAAGCGGGGGACCUUCGGGCCUCGCGCGGCAGGACGAACCGAUGUGCGAUUAGCUAGUUGGCGGGGUAACGGCCCACCAAGGCGACGAUCGCUAGCUGGUCUGAGAGGAUGAUCAGCCACACUGGGACUGAGACACGGCCCAGACUCCUACGGGAGGCAGCAGUGGGGAAUAUUGGACAAUGGGCGAAAGCCUGAUCCAGCCAUGCCGCGUGCAGGAUGAAGGCCUUCGGGUUGUAAACUGC